Molecule: ribosomal RNA, 858 nt
Filed under: uncultured bacterium
Lineage: Bacteria
Description: bacterial SSU rRNA
Rfam family: Bacterial small subunit ribosomal RNA
Source: RNAcentral
CAUGCAAGUCGAGGGGCAGCAUGACCUAGCAAUAGGUUGAUGGCGACCGGCGCACGGGUGAGUAACACGUAUCCAACCUACCGGUUAUUCCGGGAUAGCCUUUCGAAAGAAAGAUUAAUACCGGAUAGUAUAACGAGAAGGCAUCUUUUUGUUAUUAAAGAAUUUCGAUAACCGAUGGGGAUGCGUUCCAUUAGUUUGUUGGCGGGGUAACGGCCCACCAAGACAUCGAUGGAUAGGGGUUCUGAGAGGAAGGUCCCCCACAUUGGAACUGAGACACGGUCCAAACUCCUACGGGAGGCAGCAGUGAGGAAUAUUGGUCAAUGGACGAGAGUCUGAACCAGCCAAGUAGCGUGAAGGAUGACUGCCCUAUGGGUUGUAAACUUCUUUUAUAUGGGAAUAAAGUGAGCCACGUGUGGCUUUUUGUAUGUACCAUACGAAUAAGGAUCGGCUAACUCCGUGCCAGCAGCCGCGGUAAUACGGAGGAUCCGAGCGUUAUCCGGAUUUAUUGGGUUUAAAGGGAGCGUAGGCGGACUAUUAAGUCAGCUGUGAAAGUUUGCGGCUCAACCGUAAAAUUGCAGUUGAUACUGGUCGUCUUGAGUGCAGUAGAGGUAGGCGGAAUUCGUGGUGUAACGGUGAAAUGCUUAGAUAUCACGAAAAACUCCGAUUGCGAAGGCAGCUUACUGGACUGUAACUGACGCUGAUGCUCGAAAGUGUGGGUAUCAAACAGGAUUAGAUACCCUGGUAGUCCACACAGUAAACGAUGAAUACUCGCUGUUUGCGAUAUACGGCAAGCGGCCAAGCGAAAGCAUUAAGUAUUCCACCUGGGGAGUACGCCGGCAACGGUGAAACUCAAAGGAA